AGUCGAACGGGCUCUUCGGAGCUAGUGGCGGACGGGUGAGUAACGCGUGAGAAUCUGCCUUCAGGUCUGGGACAACAGAAGGAAACUUCUGCUAAUCCCGGAUGAGCCCUUGGGUAAAAGAUAAAUUGCCUGGAGAUGAGCUCGCGUCUGAUUAGCUAGUUGGUGUGAUAAAAGCAUACCAAGGCGACUAUCAGUAGCUGGUCUGAGAGGAUGAGCAGCCACACUGGGACUGAGACACGGCCCAGACUCCUACGGGAGGCAGCAGUGGGGAAUUUUCCUCAAUGGGCGAAAGCCUGACGGAGCAAGACCGCCUGGGGGAGGAAAGCUCUAGGGAUGCAAACCCCUUUUCUUUGGGAAGAAGUACUGACGGUACCAAAGGAAUCAGCCUCGGCUAACUCCGUGCCUGCAGCCGCGGCAACACCGAGGAAGCAAGCGUCAUCCGCAAUGAUUGGUCGUAAAGCAUCC
This 465-nucleotide ribosomal RNA is filed under the name uncultured bacterium. Its description in RNAcentral is "bacterial SSU rRNA". It matches the Rfam family "Bacterial small subunit ribosomal RNA", at positions 60 to 570 of the family's 1533-position model. The record is from RNAcentral.